ACUCGACUAAGCGAGUAUAAAGAGGCAUUAGGCUUAGAGCGUGACCAACUUCGGUUGGUCGGUUGUU
RNAcentral lists this ribozyme (67 nucleotides) under unclassified sequences. RNAcentral describes it as "pistol ribozyme". It matches the Rfam family "Pistol ribozyme". The record is from RNAcentral.